GGCCUAACACAUGCAAGUCGAGCGGUAGGAGAGAAGCUUGCUUCUCUUGAGAGCGGCGGACGGGUGAGUAAUGCCUAGGAAUCUGCCUGGUAGUGGGGGAUAACGUUCGGAAACGGACGCUAAUACCGCAUACGUCCUACGGGAGAAAGCAGGGGACCUUCGGGCCUUGCGCUAUCAGAUGAGCCUAGGUCGGAUUAGCUAGUUGGUGAGGUAAUGGCUCACCAAGGCGACGAUCCGUAACUGGUCUGAGAGGAUGAUCAGUCACACUGGAACUGAGUCACGGUCCAGACUCCUACGGGAGGCAGCAGUGGGGAAUAUUGGACAAUGGGCGAAAGCCUGAUCCAGCCAUGCCGCGUGUGUGAAGAAGGUCUUCGGAUUGUAAAGCACUUUAAGUUGGGAGGAAGGAUUGUAGAUUAAUACUCUGCAAUUUUGACGUUACCGACAGAAUAAGCACCGGCUAACUCUGUGCCAGCAGCCGCGGUAAUACAGAGGGUGCAAGCGUUAAUCGGAAUUACUGGGCGUAAAGCGCGCGUAGGUGGUUUGUUAAGUUGGAUGUGAAAUCCCCGGGCUCAACCUGGGAACUGCAUUCAAAACUGACUGACUAGAGUAUGGUAGAGGGUGGUGGAAUUUCCUGUGUAGCGGUGAAAUGCGUAGAUAUAGGAAGGAACACCAGUGGCGAAGGCGACCACCUGGACUAAUACUGACACUGAGGUGCGAAAGCGUGGGGAGCAAACAGGAUUAGAUACCCUGGUAGUCCACGCCGUAAACGAUGUCAACUAGCCGUUGGAAGCCUUGAGCUUCUAGUGGCGCAGCUAACGCAUUAAGUUGACCGCCUGGGGAGUACGGCCGCAAGGUUAAAACUCAAAUGAAUUGACGG
This 877-nucleotide ribosomal RNA is filed under the name uncultured Pseudomonas sp. RNAcentral describes it as "bacterial SSU rRNA". It matches the Rfam family "Bacterial small subunit ribosomal RNA", at positions 45 to 916 of the family's 1533-position model. The record is from RNAcentral. Lineage: Bacteria; Pseudomonadati; Pseudomonadota; Gammaproteobacteria; Pseudomonadales; Pseudomonadaceae.